Molecule: ribosomal RNA, 497 nt
Filed under: uncultured bacterium
Lineage: Bacteria
Description: partial 16S ribosomal RNA
Rfam family: Bacterial small subunit ribosomal RNA
Source: RNAcentral
GAUGAACGCUGGCGGCGUGCCUAAUACAUGCAAGUCGAGCGAACGGACGAGAAGCUUUCUUCUCUGAUGUUAUCGGCGGACGGGUGAUUCACUCGUGGUUAACCUACCUCUAAGACUGGGAUACCUUCGGCAAACCGUAUCUGCUACCGGAUAAUAUUUUGCACCUCAUGGUUCCAAAGUUAAAUACGGUCUUUCUUUCACUUAUAGAUUGAUACGCGCUGCAUUAGCUAGUUGGUUAGGUAACUGCUUAACAAGGCAACGAUGCAUAGCCGACCUGAGAGGGUGAACGGACAGACGGGAACUGAGACACGGUACAGACUCCUACGGGAGGCAGCAGUAGGGAAUCUUACGCAAUGGGCGAAAGCCUGACGGAGCAACGCGGCGUGAGUGAUGAAGGUCUUCGGAUGGUAAAACUAUGUUAGUAGGGAAGAACAUAUGUGUAAGUAACUGUGCACAUCUUGACGGUACCUAAUCAGAAAGCCACGGCUAACUACGUG